CAGCAUAUACCAGUAAUACAAGCACUAAAAACCAAAAAGGAGGAGCUCUCCAUACAUGAGAAGAUGGAUCUUGGCCUAUACACAUAUUUGUUGCAUAAGAAAAGAUUCAUCAUCUAUCCCGAGAGGCUCCCAAACAAAUAUUGGGGGUCUCUACUUGCCAUUGUUGAAAAGAGAUGUUAAAGUCACUCUGGUAAGCCUUGAGCCAUGACCAAAGAUCAAAAAGUAUCUUGUGCCUCACCUUCUCCUCCUCCAGACAAUAUCUUAUUUCUGUUAUACCAAAUGUUCCAGAUAAUAACGCACCAACCAGCUUUCCACCAAGAGUUUAGGACAUGUCCUUGUAGCCUGUGAGAAAUUUGGCAGAAGUGCUCAAUAGGUGACCCAGGGGGUACCGAGCAAAUGUCCAGCAAUCCAUACCAUCUCCACCAAAGCAAUUGCGCAAAUUUAAUGAAAAAAAAAAUACAUG
RNAcentral lists this long non-coding RNA (463 nucleotides) under Glycine max (soybean). Its description in RNAcentral is "long non-coding RNA (GMAX_LNC002125)". Lineage: Eukaryota; Viridiplantae; Streptophyta; Magnoliopsida; Fabales; Fabaceae. The record is from RNAcentral.